This 562-nucleotide long non-coding RNA is filed under the name Sorghum bicolor (sorghum). RNAcentral describes it as "long non-coding RNA (SBIC_LNC011641)". The record is from RNAcentral. Lineage: Eukaryota; Viridiplantae; Streptophyta; Magnoliopsida; Poales; Poaceae.
GGAUACAGUCCAUCUUCUCCUGUUUUCACCCCAGAGAAAGGAUAUAGCCCUCUUUCUCCAUCAUACAGCCCUGCAUCGCCAAGCUAUAGUCCCACCUCACCAUCAUAUACACCUGGCUCUCCCACCUACAGUCCCACAAGCCCGAAUUACUCCCCAACAAGUCCGACUUACUCGCCUACCAGUCCAUCAUACUCACCCACAUCUCCGAGUUACAGCCCAACAUCUCCUAGCUACAGUCCUACAUCACCAAGCUACAGCCCUACAUCUCCUAGUUAUAGUCCUACAUCACCAAGUUACAGCCCCACCUCACCAGUUUAUAGCCCUACAUCUCCAGCAUACAGCCCUACAUCUCCCGCAUAUAGCCCCACAUCACCAUCUUACAGUCCAACUUCGCCAUCUUAUAGCCCUACAUCACCAUCAUACAGCCCAACAUCCCCCUCAUACAGCCCUACCUCCCCCUCAUACAGCCCUACCUCCCCCUCAUACAGCCCUACCUCCCCCUCGUACAGCCCAACAUCACCUGCAUACAGCCCUACUUCGCCAGGAUACAGCCCAACAUCAC